GGCAAUGGAUCGACGAUUCCCGUCCCUGUGGCUGGGACGAUGGCCGACUCAGACUCAGGGUCCCCCACCACCCUGAGAUUCUACCUGCCUCCGCCGGGGCUCCUCCUUACCUGAUCCCCACACUUUCACCCGGUGAUCUAUGUCACGGGGCGGAGGCACCGGGGCAGUAGGUAAGCAGCAGCAGGCGGCGCUGCUUGGUCGAUGAGGUGGAGGUGGCGGGGAAUAGCGGCCGACUGCGGGGUUGGCCGGGUGCGUCGACCUGCGGCUGUGGCUGGAGCGGAGGGGAGUACAAGCGCCGGAGGAGAGCAGCGGGGUAGGAGCGAAGCCGCCAAGGAGGAGGCGGCGGCGGAAGGCGCGCUGCGUCCGGCAUCCGGGCGAGCUCCACAUCCAGCGCACGCCCGCGCAUCUGCUCGCUCGGCACCAUCUCGAGUGUCUAUCCACCAGACCCAGACGCAAUCAAGCGCGGCAACCCUAGCUUAUGCCCCUAGCGAUUGCAGCAACUCCGGCGGGAAGCAAUCAAGCGGAUUAGGAGAGCAGCAGCUAGCUGAGCAGGAGGGCGUCCAGGAGAGCAACGGACAGCCGCGACCGGAUGGCAGGGCAACGGCGUGAACGGCCAGGUUGGAACUAAUUAUUAUCUGAAGGACAACUGCAGUUACUCAAUGAGAUGCUGACUGGAAUCUCCAAGCAACAUAUUUCUUUUCAGUUGUUGUUCUCCUAGCUGGAAUCUCUAGAGAUUGUGACUGGAAUCUAAAAUUUCUGUCCUAUUUUGUAAAAGCCAGAUUGGACGGCCCAGUUUAUCCACACAAAUAAGUACUGGUGUCUCUGAAGUUCUUUCUGGUAGCAACGCUAUGACUGUAGGCUGAUCAGUCCUUCAUCUUUAUAGCUAGCUCUGAAACGCAGAUAAGGUCAGUGAUAUGUAAGGAAGCCUUUUGUAAUCAUACAUUUUAUAAAUGAUGUGAUGUGUAAUCAGUCUGUAGUGUUUGAUAAUCCACUGCUUAAAGAUUAUGGUUGCUGCAACCUACAGUUCUUUGUAUGAUUAUUCAUAUCCUCUGCAUUUUCACUAUGUGUAAACUGCGUACCCAGUUGUUCAGUGAUGUUUCAUGUUCUUCCAUUUUCAGGGUCUAUCCUGUGCAGUCGGUAUCGGAUGAACCAGUUCAUCCUUACACGACGCCGCAUCUCCAAAGAGCCUUCCAGCUGCCGACUUGGUGGUCAGCUUGACGAGAAAACUGUCCAACCACUUCCUGAUAUUGAUUACUUCAUGAUUGAGGUGCUCAGGGCCAGUCGAGAUUUCUUCUGGAGCUUACUUCUUUGUUCUCCAGAGUAUGGGCGAAAUUAUCCAAGAUGCAUCAGAAAAAACUAUUUCUUUGUUCUUGGACAGUCAUGUAUAAAGGUUGCACCCAAUUUUGUUUCUCCAGAAAAUUUACAAGAAUGCAGGCUGACGGAAGAAUUUCUUCCCCUUCCAAAAUGUCAUCGGGUGAAUAAAAAUAAGCUAGAGCUUGGUGUCUGUCGUGAUGCUUCUGGUUUUGAAGUGUAGGUGCAACAAAGAUGAUCUUACCAUCUUUCAUAUCAGUAAUGGUUUUGUUGCUUUAGUAUCAUAUAUAGAACUGCAGUUGCUAAACUUUCACGUCGUUUUUUUUAUAAGAGCUACUAAACUUGCCUCUUAUUUUUUAUGAGGUGCUGAAUUCUUUCUUGGUUGGGAUUGACACCCAGCACUAGCCAGAAAGUUUCGGUGGGACCAUAUUCUCAAUAAGGGCGGCUUCGGAUUAUCUGAACGGCGUCGACAGAAGACUUACACUACCUUCCCGAUGCUGGAAAUGUAGCUUUGUUUCAAUUGCUUUGGGUAGAGCUUGCUACAGUUCUAGCCCUCCCUGUGCCAAGCAAAGAACUCAUCAUCAUCAUCAUUUCGUCUGCUGAUGAAUAUAACAAUGCCAACCACUGACAGUUUGAAGACUGGGGAACACCGAGACCACCUGGCUUAGCAUGCUAAAAAUUUAUAUUCGUGCUAAUUACUUCAAGUAUAUAGUUCCGGUGGCACUGCUUAGGCAAGUCAAUCCUAUCAGGUAUGUAAUGAGAAAGAAUGUAUGUAUGAUAUAGUUCAGAUGGUUCUGUUUAGUCAAGUCAAUCCUAUCACCUAGGUUACGAGAAAGAAUGUAUGUAUGUUAGUGUCUCUAGCCUAUACUCCCUACGGUGGAUCUAUCUUGCCAACCAUGCACUCAACUAGGAAUAUAUAUUAGUAACACGUUUAGUAUAUCUGAGAUAAGGAUAUCACAUCGAUAAAGCUUCAUGUUACAGCAUAGGCGCGGCGUGAGCAUUUGAAAAGUUGCUAUUUUGAGAUCUACAAUUCUGUUAAUUUUGCAAUGUCCAGAAUAUAGAUUAUCUCUCACUGAUUUUUUGAACACUGAUAGAUUGAAUAAUUGUCUACAUUUAGAAAUUUUUUCAUGUUCUUUUGAUGUUUUAAAUUUUUGAUUUUGAAUUUUCAAA
This is a non-coding RNA of Lolium perenne, 2481 nucleotides long. Lineage: Eukaryota; Viridiplantae; Streptophyta; Magnoliopsida; Poales; Poaceae. The record is from RefSeq and is a predicted model, not a curated record.